UCCAGACUCCUACGGGAGGCAGCAGUGGGGAAUAUUGCACAAUGGGGGAAACCCUGAUGCAGCGACGCCGCGUGAGUGAAGAAGUAUUUCGGUACGUAAAGCUCUCUCAGCAGGGAAGAAAAAAAGUCCUUUGGACUUUGGACGGUACCUGACUAAGAAGCCCCGGCUAACUACGUGCCAGCAGCCGCGGUAAUACGUAGGGGGCAAGCGUUAUCCGGAUUUACUGGGUGUAAAGGGAGCGUAGGCGGUUUAGCAAGUCAGAAGUGAAAGCCCGGGGCUCAACUCCGGGACUGCUUUUGAAACUGUUGAACUAGAUUGCAGGAGAGGUAAGCGGAAUUCCUAGUGUAGCGGUGAAAUGCGUAGAUAUUAGGAGGAACACCAGUGGCGAAGGCGGCUUACUGGACUGUAAAUGACGCUGAGGCUCGAAAGCGUGGGGAGCAAACAGGAUUAGAUACCCUUGUACG
This 464-nucleotide ribosomal RNA is filed under the name uncultured bacterium. Its description in RNAcentral is "bacterial SSU rRNA". It matches the Rfam family "Bacterial small subunit ribosomal RNA", at positions 330 to 793 of the family's 1533-position model. The record is from RNAcentral.